This 586-nucleotide long non-coding RNA is filed under the name Medicago truncatula (barrel medic). RNAcentral describes it as "lncRNA gene47760". The record is from RNAcentral. Lineage: Eukaryota; Viridiplantae; Streptophyta; Magnoliopsida; Fabales; Fabaceae.
CUCAGAUUUGCCUUUUCUCAGACAAAAGAGAAAGUUUGCAAAGGCUGCGUCAAUAUUUGUGCAAAGGACCCAAAGGGUAAUUUCACACAGACACAAAGUCACCAUGCCUGGAAACAGAUCUUCACUCAAUGUCUGAUUUCAGUUGCUGAAAACAUCACUGCCUUGUUAUCAAAGAGGAGAAGAAGAAGAAAGAAGCUCAUAAUUGAGACGAAGGGAGUAUAUAUAUAUAUAUGUAUGUAUGUAUGUAUGUAUGUAUGUAUGUGUGUAUAUGUGAAGAGCUGUUGACAAAUUUUGCUGAGAAGGAUCAUCGGCUUGCCCAGCAACUCAGAGUAGCAACAGUCUCGAGACAACCUUACCUCUGAGUGUGGAGCCUCAUACUUAAUCUAACGACUAAUGAGUGUGUAAACCCUGAUUGCAGGUUUCAUAGGAAGGCUCAGAUUCACCUUUUUCUCAAACAAGAGGCAGAAGAGAAGAGCCUCGUCAUGGCUGCAUAACCAGUAUCUGUACAAUGGACCACAAUGGUAUUUUCAAACAGAUAAUGAAACACCUUGCCAGUAAUAAGGCUCUUCACCCUGUUGUCUGAUUU